This 236-nucleotide unclassified non-coding RNA is filed under the name uncultured Paraglomus. Its description in RNAcentral is "partial internal transcribed spacer 2". Lineage: Eukaryota; Fungi; Glomeromycota; Glomeromycetes; Paraglomerales; Paraglomeraceae. The record is from RNAcentral.
UUUAACAAAUAAUGUGCGCGUCGUUUUUACGAGCGAUGUGUGCACGUUGAUGAGCUUUUCCGAAAAAACCAGGUUUUUUUGGUGGCGCAUAAUGAACAGCGUGGGCUUUUUCUUCGAUUCUCGUGUAGUAAAUCUUCAACGCUUGGGUUGAGAAAAAGUGCGUGCCGCGCAAUGGGUGUGGCGAAUUUACCCCUGCCCCAAUGCCACUCUUUCCCUGCGAAAGAACAAUCUUUUAU